AUACUUAUCUACUUUAAUUUUUUCAUAUUUCUUUAAAACAAACUCACUUGUUUAUUUGCUUUCAUAAAGUUUUUAUCCUUGAAAAUUUGACAAGAAUACACUUAUAAUAUCACAACUUUGUUUUUUAUUUUUAUUUUUAUUUUUUAUUUAGUAAGAGUGGAUUAUUUCUUUCUCUUGAUAAGACUUAAGCGUAUUAAGAGUUGCGGAUUACCUUCUUUUAAAUUAAUAUUAUCUUUAGUAUUUUUUCUUUAUUUCAAGUCUUUUUAUUUUUUUAUUUAUCUAAAGCAAUAUUAG
Molecule: long non-coding RNA, 294 nt
Filed under: Physcomitrium patens
Lineage: Eukaryota; Viridiplantae; Streptophyta; Bryopsida; Funariales; Funariaceae
Description: long non-coding RNA (PPAT_LNC006295)
Source: RNAcentral